RNAcentral lists this long non-coding RNA (1219 nucleotides) under Homo sapiens (human). Its description in RNAcentral is "long intergenic non-protein coding RNA 2871". Lineage: Eukaryota; Metazoa; Chordata; Mammalia; Primates; Hominidae. The record is from RNAcentral.
AGUCUCACCAUUGCCUAGACUACCACAGGGACCACAGACACAUAACGGUGCCCAGCCAAGACAAGAAGAAACAUCCAGCUGAGUCCAGCCUAAAUUGCUGAUCUGCAGAAUUGAAAACUUGGGAGGAAGACAUACUAUACCACAUGGUCCUUUCCUUUUUCUGUGGAUGGCAAAAAGAUGCAUCACUUCCCGGAGCUUAUGAUAGAAGAUGCUCCUUCGCCAGUGUGAGACACUUAAAAGGACAAUGAUUUGUGCAGGGAACUAACCCUGUGUGCUACGUGUCCUUUUGCUCCAUUUUACUGAUGUGACAAUUGGAGCAGAAUAGUUUAUGUGGCAAAUUUUCCCAGCAUUUAUUUGCACUGCUUACUACAUUCACAUUCUAGUUUACAAAUCUUGACAAAGACAACUGAAUAGGUGUUUUGCAUGAAUGUACUUAUUUUGUAUUGAAGUAUGACACACAUGCAGAGAAGUGACAUUGUCAUAAGCAAAUGGCUUGAUGGCUUUUACAAACUGAAUGUAUGUAUAACCAACAUCGAGAACUAGAAGCAGCUUUUUCAGCCCCUCCUUCCUGAAACUUUUCCUCUCCUUCCACCUUGACCAAGUGUAAUCUCUCUCCUGACCUCUGGCAGAAUAGGUAAUUGUACUAAACUCUUCCACCAUAAUUGUGAUCUCAUCUUGGGAUUUGCCAAAAAACAUUUAUAGCAUGUCUGAGAAGUCCAGAGGAAGUAUAUAUCUCCUCUUUGCUCCAACCUUCUUGUAGCAGGGUUUGAGGGAGAAGGCUGCAAGGAGUCCUGUGGGAGGCCCUGGGGUCUUAUUAGUUGAAGGAAACAAAUCAUCAUACCUUUAAUACUGGCUCCAAUUUGCCCCUUUCAUGAGUAGUCUUGGAGAGAUAAUUGCUAAUCUGGAAUGGACAUACUUCUUGAUCUUGGUUGGCAUUUUUCAAACUGUGAUGAAGACACUUUUUAUAGCCCUGUUCAGAAUACAGAAGGAGACCUACUCUUCUUUGAUCACAAUCUAAAGACAGACAGAGGACAUGUGGAAAGAUCUGUCAUGGAUUAAAUAUAAACAAAAAUGAAGCAAGAAACAAAACUAGUCUUUCAAUGAAAAGCUGAAGAUGCUGAAGAAGAAAUGCAAAAUCAUUUCACAAGAAAAACAAAAUCAGACCAGGAUCACUUGGCGUACCAUCCUAGCAAAAUAUAUCUUCUUGGAGUUGCCCUGA